This 253-nucleotide ribosomal RNA is filed under the name uncultured bacterium. RNAcentral's name for it is "partial 16S ribosomal RNA". It matches the Rfam family "Bacterial small subunit ribosomal RNA", at positions 524 to 776 of the family's 1533-position model. The record is from RNAcentral.
UACGGAAGGUGCGAGCGUUGUCCGGAAUCACUGGGCGUAAAGGGUGCGUAGGUGGUUGUGCAAGUCUGAUGUGAAAUCUCCGGGCUUAACCCGGAAAUGGCAUUGGAAACUGCAUGGCUAGAGGGUUGGAGGGGGGACUGGAAUACUUGGUGUAGCAGUGAAAUGCGUAGAUAUCAAGUGGAACACCAGUGGCGAAGGCGAGUCCCUGGACAACACCUGACACUGAGGCACGAAAGCUAGGGGAGCAAACAGG